AAGCGGCAACAGCUCAAAUUUGAAAUCUGGCCCUUGGGUCCGAGUUGUAAUUUGUAGAGGAUGCUUUUGGCGAGGUGCCUUCCGAGUUCCCUGGAACGGGACGCCAUAGAGGGUGAGAGCCCCGUCUGGUCGGACACCGAGCCUCUGUAAAGCUCCUUCGACGAGUCGAGUAGUUUGGGAAUGCUGCUCAAAAUGGGAGGUAUAUGUCUUCUAAAGCUAAAUAUUGGCCAGAGACCGAUGCGCACAAGUAGAGUGAUCGAAAGAUGAAAAGCACUUUGAAAAGAGGGUUAAAAAGUACGUGAAAUUGUUGAAAGGGAAGCGCCUAUGACCAGACUUGGGCCCGGUGAAUCAUCCAGCGUUCUCGCUGGUGCACUUUGCCGGGCACAGGCCAGCAUCAGUUUGGCGCGGGGGAAAAAGGCUUUGGGAAUGUGCCUCCCUCGGGAGUGUUAUAGCCCAUUGUGUAAAUACCCUGCGCCGGACUGAGGUACGCGCAUUGCAAGGAAUCUGGCCUUAAUGGUCAUCAGC
Molecule: ribosomal RNA, 525 nt
Filed under: Akanthomyces lecanii
Lineage: Eukaryota; Fungi; Ascomycota; Sordariomycetes; Hypocreales; Cordycipitaceae
Description: partial large subunit ribosomal RNA
Rfam family: Eukaryotic large subunit ribosomal RNA
Source: RNAcentral